RNAcentral lists this non-coding RNA (28 nucleotides) under Rattus norvegicus (Norway rat). Lineage: Eukaryota; Metazoa; Chordata; Mammalia; Rodentia; Muridae. The record is from RNAcentral.
UCCCUACAUCAACCGCUGGAUAAGCUCA